RNAcentral lists this ribosomal RNA (462 nucleotides) under uncultured bacterium. RNAcentral's name for it is "partial 16S ribosomal RNA". It matches the Rfam family "Bacterial small subunit ribosomal RNA", at positions 28 to 507 of the family's 1533-position model. The record is from RNAcentral.
GACGAACGCUGGCGGCGUGCUUAACACAUGCAGGUCGAACGGUAAGGCCUUUCGGGGUACCCGAGUGGCGAACGGGUGAGUAACACGUGGGUGAUCUGCCCUGCACUUCGGGAUAAGCCCGGGAAACUGGGUCUAAUACCGGAUAGGACUGCGCGGUGCAUGCCGUGUGGUGGAAAGAUUUAUCGGUGCAGGAUGGGCCCGCGGCCUAUCAGCUUGUUGGUGGGGUAAUGGCCUACCAAGGCGACGACGGGUAGCCGGCCUGAGAGGGCGACCGGCCACACUGGGACUGAGACACGGCCCAGACUCCUACGGGAGGCAGCAGUGGGGAAUAUUGCACAAUGGGCGCAAGCCUGAUGCGGCGACGCCGCGUGAGGGAUGACGGCCUUCGGGUUGUAAACCUCUUUCAGCAGGGACGAAGCGUGAGUGACGGUACCUGCAGAAGAAGCACCGGCCAACUACGUG